CACUGAGUUUUCCAUUAGUGUGUGCUUAUCUUUUCAGUGGCUCUCUAUAAAAUUGAGACCUUGCAAUUUUAGGAAAUUAAAACUUGACACUACAUUUUGUCACUUAGCACAUACAUACAUGUCAAUAUUGACUUUAAUGCUUGUAUGUAUUUGUAUGCUUUUUUUUUCCAGUGAUGCUGACUUAUUCCAGAAACUAUGCUGCUCACAAUAUAAAACACUUCAGAAGAUUUUUCCAUUAACUAAAAUGAUACAGGCUCACAAUGCUGCAGUCUCUUGAAGUGUCUCUUGAAGUUAAGAGCCUUCUAGGUUUGACUGGUUUUGCCCACAGUUUUGCCCUUACCUCCUAUUCAGCUUGUCUGCUUGGGAGAUGAGCACCAAGACCUGCGUCCCUUGCCAAGAUGAGCAGAAGAGUUGUCAGCGUGGUGCCAUCUGGCACCAUCAGAUACCAGGGAGGAUCCAGACAGAGGUUAGAGUGACCCUCCUAUUGGGCUGUCCUUCUGACCAGGCAGGGCAGGACAGGGACAAACAGGUCGUCUGAGGGUGUAUCCUUCUUAUUUGAGCACAAAAUCAACUUACGGUAGAAGCUGUUGUUAUAUAUAUACUUGCAGUGCAUCCCUCUUUCACACGAGGUCUCUCUGUCUUCUUCCAAAGCUCUGGUAAUCUGAAUUUGGUAAUAAAAGCUAUGAGGG
Molecule: long non-coding RNA, 689 nt
Filed under: Anser brachyrhynchus (Pink-footed goose)
Lineage: Eukaryota; Metazoa; Chordata; Aves; Anseriformes; Anatidae
Description: lncRNA (ENSABRG00000005340.1)
Source: RNAcentral